CUCUGAUUUUCACCUGGGCCUUCCGGGAUCUAAUUUCUACCAGGAAUAGUCGAAAGCCCUCAGGAUUUGCAAAGUGACAGGGUAGGUGAAUGCCAGCAUGUUGCUGCCAGCAGACUUGAGGUGGAGGAGGAUCGCACAGGACUGAUAAAUCUCACCUGCUGCUUAAGCCAAAGGUUCCCUUUCAUUGGCCUCCAACAAAGACAGAGGCAGUUAUGGCUCCUAUUGCUCUCCUGCUGUAUUAGAGGGACAGAAAUGCAAGGAAAAAUAACGUUGCUCUGGGACCACAGAGGAGGAAACACAGCCCUCACAGUGUUUGCUGCAGAGCUCUCUCUGAAAUAAAGGUGCUUUUGACACAAGUGGGUUGGGAUUCAGAUCUUCCAGCCUCUUCCAUUCCCUAAUUCACAUUCAAGCAAAUGCUUUGUUGUUUAGUAAAGUAAAGGUCACAACGUAAUCACCUUCUGUUAACACUGUUGGUUUAUGAGAUAACGAGAGCUUGAUGUCCACGCUCAGUUGAUCACUGAAAACGUUCCUAGAAUGUGUAUUCUACUUCAUUGUUAUCAUUAGCAUCAGGAGCAUGUUACUUGGUGACUCCAGAUUCAGCUGCCUCCACAGCUUACAACUCAGGCUUUACCAUUGGGACAGAAGGGACUGCAGCUACACCUGCUAAUCCUAUUUUAUUUGCUUGUAAACACCUGUGUUUGUUUCUUACCCACAUGAGAGGUAGGUAAGAGAGACC
This is a long non-coding RNA of Gallus gallus (chicken), 736 nucleotides long. Lineage: Eukaryota; Metazoa; Chordata; Aves; Galliformes; Phasianidae. The record is from Ensembl.